UAUUGCCUACGGGGGGCAGCAGUGGGGGAUAUUGCACAAUGGGCGAAAGCCUGAUGCAGCGACGCCGCGUGAGGGAAGACGGUCUUCGGAUUGUAAACCUCUGUCUUUGGGGAAGAAAUCAGACGGUACCCAAAGAGGAAGCUCCGGCUAACUACGUGCCAGCAGCCGCGGUAAUACGUAGGGAGCGAGCGUUGUCCGGAAUUACUGGGUGUAAAGGGAGCGUAGGCGGGCUUGUAAGUUGAAUGUCUAAUCCACCGGCUCAACCGGUGAUCGCGUUCAAAACUGCCGGUCUUGAGUGAAGUAGG
Molecule: ribosomal RNA, 305 nt
Filed under: uncultured bacterium
Lineage: Bacteria
Description: bacterial SSU rRNA
Rfam family: Bacterial small subunit ribosomal RNA
Source: RNAcentral